RNAcentral lists this unclassified non-coding RNA (322 nucleotides) under soil metagenome. RNAcentral's name for it is "partial contains 5.8S ribosomal RNA, internal transcribed spacer 2, and large subunit ribosomal RNA". The stretch from base 1 to 120 matches the Rfam family "5.8S ribosomal RNA", at positions 35 to 154 of the family's 154-position model. The record is from RNAcentral.
GAUGAAGAACGUAGCGAUAUGCGAUAAGUAAUGUGAAUUGCAGAAUUCAGUGAAUCAUCGAAUCUUUGAACGCACAUUGCGCCCUUUGGCAUUCCGAAGGGCACACCUGUCCGAGCGCCGUCGCACAACUGAGGCGCAGCCUUGCGUUGGCGGGCGACUUGUGAGUAGCGAGUCGCCGCCCAAACGAGACGGCGCCGCGCCGCGGCCGACGAAGCACGAAAGCGGAAGUCGACGCGGAGGCGGUUGCCUGUAGGAAGACACAGCUUGGCCUCGGAUCAGGUGGGGAUACCCGCUGAACUUAAGCAUAUCAAUAAGCGGAGGA